This 481-nucleotide ribosomal RNA is filed under the name uncultured bacterium. RNAcentral describes it as "partial 16S ribosomal RNA". It matches the Rfam family "Bacterial small subunit ribosomal RNA", at positions 30 to 507 of the family's 1533-position model. The record is from RNAcentral.
AUUGAACGCUGGCGGCAGGCCUAACACAUGCAAGUCGAGCGGAUGAAGGGAGCUUGCUCCUGGAUUCAGCGGCGGACGGGUGAGUAAUGCCUAGGAAUCUGCCUGGUAGUGGGGGAUAACGUCCGGAAACGGGCGCUAAUACCGCAUACGUCCUGAGGGAGAAAGUGGGGAUCUUCGGACCUCACGCUAUCAGAUGAGCCUAGGUCGGAUUAGCUAGUUGGUGGGGUAAAGGCCUACCAAGGCGACGAUCCGUAACUGGUCUGAGAGGAUGAUCAGUCACACUGGAACUGAGACACGGUCCAGACUCCUACGGGAGGCAGCAGUGGGGAAUAUUGGACAAUGGGCGAAAGCCUGAUCCAGCCAUGCCGCGUGUGAAGAAGGUCUUCGGAUUGUAAAGCACUUUAAGUUGGGAGGAAGGGCAGUAAGUUAAUACCUUGCUGUUUUGACGUUACCAACAGAAUAAGCACCGGCUAACUUCGUG